AGAAUCAACGCUGGCGGCGUGCCUAACACAUGCAAGUCGAACGAGAAAGUGGAGCAAUCCAUUAGUAAAGUGGCGCACGGGUGAGUAACACGUGACUAACCUACCCUUGAGUGGGGGAUAACCUAGAGAAAUCUGGGCUAAUACCGCAUAAUACCUUCGGGUCAAAGGAGCAAUUCGCUUAAGGAGGGGGUCGCGGCCGAUUAGUUAGUUGGCGGGGUAAUGGCCCACCAAGACUAUGAUCGGUAUCCGGCCUGAGAGGGCGCACGGACACACUGGAACUGAAACACGGUCCAGACUCCUACGGGAGGCAGCAGUGGGGAAUUUGCGCAAUGGGGGAAACCCUGACGCAGCAACGCCGCGUGGAGGAUGAAGCCCCUUGGGGCGUAAACUCCUUUCGAUCGGGACGAUAAUGACGGUACCGAGAGAAGAGCCCGGUUAACUUCGCGCCAGCAGCCGC
Molecule: ribosomal RNA, 457 nt
Filed under: uncultured bacterium
Lineage: Bacteria
Description: SSU rRNA
Rfam family: Bacterial small subunit ribosomal RNA
Source: RNAcentral